GCAGAGGUAGAAAGAAUGUCACAAAUUAAAUUUCCAGCCUCUCACCCACAGUCAGGGCAAGAGUGGCAGAGAUGUCGCACACCUGGGUGUGCGCGUGACCUUACCGUCAUGAAGGGGGUUUCACUCACCUCUUCUCUGUAGGGUUCUGGAGCCAGGAGUGGGGUGGGUCUUAUCUGACGGAUACUCGGGGAGAGCAGAGCAUGACUUGGGGACACUGUCCCCAAGGGUGUGGCUGAAUGUUUUGUUCUUUGAGGAAAUGAGUAUUUAAUUCAACAACUUUAGUGUGUGUGACUAAAAUUCACUUAGCACAGUUUGGAAGACAGACUACUCGAAGUCAGGGAGAUAUAACAAGGCUAGUGUGCAGCAAGUGAAUUCAGUCCUUAAGUCUGUCUCAGUGCAGCAGUUCUGGGCCUCCUCUUCCUCCAUCCAAGAGGAGCAGUUAUUAGAGGAAAAGGAGAGAUAGGAACCAGGCAGGCUUUGUACAGUGGGCUGAAGUGGGGUCAGUGGCAAUGCCACCAUAUCAGAAAACCAAUCUUGUGAUGUAAGAGCCAUUUGUGACAGGUGGGUUCAGUAUAAAAUCCCUGAGCUCGGAGGCCCUGGGAAUUGCUUAGGCAGUCAACAUAUUAGGAGCCGAUCACAAACGGAAUGAAACCAAGUGAGGUGGGCACAACAUAGAAGCUGGACAGAGACAGCAGCUAAGAGGUAGCAGAUCCAGUGGAAAUUAGGCACCUGAACAGAAACAUGAAUAAGAAGCUAGAAUUCUACGCUGCUAUGGCCCAGAGCUUGAAGGGACAAGAUCGUAGAGGAAGGUGAGCCAUAGAGAAGACAGCCCAACACUAGGGGAGUGCGGAGAUACAAAGAAGCAGAGUAAAAUUGGCUCAAAGUAGAGAGCAAUUCUGUGUAGCACUGUGUGUUGGAGAGACAAAAAUUGGAGCUUAGGAGUUGGCAAGGAGAAAGGGUCCCAGGAGACAAUUCCAGUUGCCAGACUUGUCAGGUACAGACAUAAACAACAGAGAUUAACAUCCAAUACAAUAAAGGAACAAAUACAGAAUUUUAUAGGAGAAUUGGAAUUGUUAAGAAAUGAAAUGGAAACUUUAGGUAAGAGAUUGUUAUAACACAAAUACAAGAAUUAAGUAGAUGGCCAGGGAUUUAGCUCAGUGGUUUCACUGCCUACUGCGCAAGUGCAAGGACCCAAGUUCGAUCCCUGGUACCAAAAGAAAGAAAGAAAGAAAGAAAGAAAGAAAGAAAGAAUUAAGUAGAUGGGCAUGAGAGGAGAUUGGAUCUUGCAGAAGAGAGGAUCUAUAAACUGGCAGAUGAUCAGUGGGAAAUAUCUAACUUCAAAGGUUAAAAGUCAAAAUGGUGAAAAGUAUAGAAAAGUGGGUAAGAGAUUUAUAGGGCAUGGCCUUAACAUAUGUGUAAUUGGAGUCCUAGAAAAGAGGAGAGACUGAAGUAGAAGCAGUGGAAGAAAUGCUAAUGGCUGAGAAUGUUCAGAAACCAAUAAACAACAUCAAGUCACACAAUCAAAAAGCACUCUCAAUCCGAAGAAGAAUAAGCACAGUGAAACCACAGACACAUGGUAGGAGAGGUAUGGAAAACCAGAGAGAGAGAGAAUAUUAACAUCCCGUGGAAAAUAAGGACCUUGACUUCAGAAGAGAAGGACAUGACCGACAGCUGGCACCCUAAUGGAAAAAUCAGAAUCUGGAAGACUAUACCUGCCAACUAAGAAUUCUGUACCCAGAACACAUAUCCUUUAAAGGACUCGUUUGCAGCGCAGGAUCACCACAUUUCUCAUGGGGAGCCGGUGCAGGUGCAGAAGGAACUUGUAGCACUCCUUGCUGGUGUACACGGACCACUGCUCUCCACCCGACGGCAGCACCAGGCACAAAUGCACGUGAAACUCCUGCAAGUCAUAAUCUAAGUCUCAACACAUGUUGAAGGACUGGAAUCCUUGAUAAGAAAUAAGAAGGCUUUUCUUUGGUAUCGGGAAUCGAACUCAAGACCUUGCACCUUCAAGAAAGGCAGGCUCUUACAAACAUGGUGCUGUGUCCUCACCCACUUCAUUCAUCAGAUCCAGCCUGCUGCAACUUCUGGCUCCUCCCCAAAGUCGAAGCAUCUUGAAAGGUCAACGUUUUGAAUUGGUUCAGGACUUCAGCGGAGCCAGUACAGGGAAACUAAUGACACUCAGGAAAGAGGACUCCAGAACUGCUUCCGGAAGUGGUGAGGACAAUGGCAUAAGUAUGUUUGAUCAAGGGGACUAUUUUGGGGGGGGAAUUCAUGGUCACAUGUCUUUAACUGUAACACAUUUUAAAAAAUUUAA
This is a non-coding RNA of Heterocephalus glaber (naked mole-rat), 2317 nucleotides long. NCBI's taxonomy places the organism in Eukaryota, Metazoa, Chordata, Mammalia, Rodentia, Bathyergidae. The record is from RefSeq and is a predicted model, not a curated record.